AACGCGAAGAACCUUACCAAGGCUUGACAUCCUGCGAAGGUCUCUGAAAGGAGACUGUGCCUUCGGGAACGCAGUGACAGGUGCUGCAUGGCCGUCGUCAGCUCGUGUCGUGAGAUGUUUGGUUAAGUCCAUCAACGAGCGCAACCCCUUUAGUUAGUUGCUUUUUCUAGCUAGACUGCCCUGGUAACAGGGAGGAAGGAGGGGACGACGUCAGGUCAGUAUUGCCCUUACGCCUUGGGCUACAAACACGCUACAAUGGCCGGUACAAAGGGCUGCCAAGUCGCGAGACGGAGCAAAUCCCAUCAAAGCCGGUCUCAGUUCGGAUUGCAGGCUGAAACUCGCCUGCAUGAAGCUGGAAUCGCUAGUAACGGUAGGUCAGCACUACUACCGUGAAUACGUUCCCGGGCCUUGUACACACCGACGCAC
RNAcentral lists this ribosomal RNA (426 nucleotides) under uncultured bacterium. RNAcentral's name for it is "bacterial SSU rRNA". It matches the Rfam family "Bacterial small subunit ribosomal RNA", at positions 958 to 1398 of the family's 1533-position model. The record is from RNAcentral.